UACGGGGGGAGCAAGCGUUGUUCGGAUUUACUGGGCGUAAAGGGCGCGUAGGCGGCUCGUGACAAGUCACUUGUGAAAUCUCCGGGCUUAACUCGGAACGGUCAACUGAUACUGCGCGGCUAGAGUGCAGAAGGGGCAACUGGAAUUCUCGGUGUAGCGGUGAAAUGCGUAGAUAUCGAGAGGAACACCUGCGGCGAAGGCGGGUUGCUGGGCUGACACUGACGCUGAUGCGCGAAAGCCAGGGGAGCGAACGGG
RNAcentral lists this ribosomal RNA (255 nucleotides) under uncultured bacterium. RNAcentral describes it as "partial 16S ribosomal RNA". It matches the Rfam family "Bacterial small subunit ribosomal RNA", at positions 524 to 776 of the family's 1533-position model. The record is from RNAcentral.